Molecule: non-coding RNA, 56 nt
Organism: Triticum aestivum (bread wheat)
Lineage: Eukaryota; Viridiplantae; Streptophyta; Magnoliopsida; Poales; Poaceae
Source: Rfam
GCUCAGUUGGUAAAGCACAAAGCUCUUAACCUUGUGGACGUGGGUUCAAGCCCCGU